AUGGCAAUAUCAUUCAGUUAUCAAGGGAAAAGAAGAAUUCAUUGCACUGGUUUCAAUAAAAUGUUAGUCAAAAACCUCACCACAUCAGGAAUAUCAAGUCCACGUGCUGCCACAUUAGUGCAUAAUAAGAUGCCCUUUUCUGCCUUGCAGAAGUUAAAGAAUGUUGUAGUUCGUUUCUGCUGUUUUUGUUUCCCAUGGAUAUCUUCACACUCUAUCUGGAGAAAAUUUAGAAGCUCUGCAUGGAACUUUACUGAGCUACAUGAUGAAAAGAACACCAUGACCUUCUUAGACUGUUUCUUUUUUAGGAAAGCAUACAGAACCAAAAACCUCUUGUCGCUAGGAAUGACACAAUAG
This 354-nucleotide ribosomal RNA is filed under the name Triticum aestivum (bread wheat). Its description in RNAcentral is "partial small subunit ribosomal RNA". Lineage: Eukaryota; Viridiplantae; Streptophyta; Magnoliopsida; Poales; Poaceae. The record is from RNAcentral.